AGUAACGGCGAGUGAAGCGGCAACAGCUCAAAUUUGAAAUCUGGCUCUCGGGCCCGAGUUGUAAUUUGUAGAGGAUACUUUUGAUGCGGUGCCUUCCGAGUUCCCUGGAACGGGACGCCAUAGAGGGUGAGAGCCCCGUCUGGUUGUAUGCCAAAUCUCUGUAAAGUUCCUUCAACGAGUCGAGUUGUUUGGGA
Molecule: ribosomal RNA, 194 nt
Filed under: Fusarium equiseti
Lineage: Eukaryota; Fungi; Ascomycota; Sordariomycetes; Hypocreales; Nectriaceae
Description: partial large subunit ribosomal RNA
Rfam family: Eukaryotic large subunit ribosomal RNA
Source: RNAcentral